UACGUAGGGGGCAAGCGUUGUCCGGAAUCAUUGGGCGUAAAGAGCGCGUAGGCGGCCCUGUAAGUCCGCUGUGAAAGUCAAGGGCUCAACCCUUGGAUGCCGGUGGAUACUGCAGGGCUAGAGUCCGGAAGAGGCGAGUGGAAUUCCUGGUGUAGCGGUGAAAUGCGCAGAUAUCAGGAGGAACACCAGUGGCGAAGGCGGUGCUCUGGGCCGGAACUGACGCUGAGGAGCGAAAGCGUGGGGAGCAAACAGG
Molecule: ribosomal RNA, 253 nt
Filed under: uncultured bacterium
Lineage: Bacteria
Description: partial 16S ribosomal RNA
Rfam family: Bacterial small subunit ribosomal RNA
Source: RNAcentral